Molecule: transfer RNA, 69 nt
Filed under: Ictidomys tridecemlineatus (thirteen-lined ground squirrel)
Lineage: Eukaryota; Metazoa; Chordata; Mammalia; Rodentia; Sciuridae
Description: Spermophilus tridecemlineatus (thirteen-lined ground squirrel) tRNA
Rfam family: tRNA
About the family: Transfer RNA (tRNA) molecules are approximately 80 nucleotides in length. Their secondary structure includes four short double-helical elements and three loops (D, anti-codon, and T loops).
Source: Rfam by way of RNAcentral
GGAGUUGUGGCUCAGCGGUAGAGCAUUCACCUAGCAUGUGAGAAGUCCUGGGUUCAAUCCUCAGCACCA